GUGCCAGCCGCCGCGGGKAAUACGGAGGAUGCAAGCGUUAUCCGGAAUUAUUGGGCGUAAGGCGUCCGCAGGUGGCAAUUCAAGUCUGCUGUUAAAGGUUCUGGCUCAACCAGAAACAGGCAGUGGAAACUGAAUAGCUAGAGUGCGGUAGGGGCAGAGGGAAUUCCCAGUGUAGCGGUGAAAUGCGUAGAGAUUGGGAAGAACACCGGUGGCGAAAGCGCUCUGCUAGGCCGUAACUGACACUCAUGGACGAAAGCUAGGGGAGCGAAUGGGAUUAGAUACCCCAGUAGUCCUAGCCGUAAACGAUGGAUACUAGGCGUUGCUCGCAUCGACCCGAGCAGUACCGUAGCUAACGCGUUAAGUAUCCCGCCUGGGGAGUACGCGCGCAASUGNAAACUCAAAGGAAUUGACGGGGGCCCGCACAAGCGGUGGAGUAUGUGGUUUAAUUCGAUGCAACGCGAAGAACCUUACCAGGACUUGACAUGUCGCGAAUCUUUGGAAACUAAAGAGUGCUUCGGAGCGCGAACACAGGUGGUGCAUGGCUGUCGUCAGCUCGUGUCGUGAGAUGUUGGGUUAAGUCCCGCAACGAGCGCAACCCUCGUUCUUAGUUGCCAGCAUUAAGUUGGGCACUCUAGGGAGACUGCCGGUGAUAAACCGGAGGAAGGUGGGGAUGACGUCAAGUCAGCAUGCCCCUUACGUCCUGGGCUACACACGUACUACAAUGCUACGGACAAAGGGUCGCAAGCAUGCGAAUGCAAGCAAAUCCCAUAAACCGUGGCUCAGUUCAGAUUGCAGGCUGCAACUCGCCUGCAUGAAGGCGGAAUCGCUAGUAAUCCCAGAUCAGCACGCUGGGGUGAAUACGUUCCCGGGCCUUGUACACACCGCCCGUCACACCAUGGAAGUUGGCCACGCCCGAAGUCGUUACCCUAACCGCAAGGAGGGGGAUGCCGAAGGCAGGGCUGAUGACUGGGGUGAAGCCGUAACAAGGUAACC
This 993-nucleotide ribosomal RNA is filed under the name uncultured cyanobacterium. RNAcentral describes it as "bacterial SSU rRNA". It matches the Rfam family "Bacterial small subunit ribosomal RNA", at positions 505 to 1501 of the family's 1533-position model. The record is from RNAcentral. Lineage: Bacteria; Bacillati; Cyanobacteriota.